CCUACGGGUGGCAGCAGUGAGGAAUAUUGCACAAUGGGGGAAACCCUGAUGCAGCAACGCCGCGUGAGUGAAGAAGUAUUUCGGUAUGUAAAGCUCUAUCAGCAGGGAAGAAGAAAGACGGUACCUGACUAAGAAGCCCCGGCUAACUACGUGCCAGCAGCCGCGGUAAUACGUAGGGGGCAAGCGUUAACCGGAUUUACUGGGUGUAAAGGGAGCGUAGAGGGUUGUGAAAGGCUGAAGUGAAAGCCCGUGGCUCAACCGCGGAACUGCUUUGGAAACUGGAUAGCUUGAGUACAGGAGAGGCAGGCGGAAUUCCUAGUGUAGCGGUGAAAUGCGUAGAUAUUAGGAGGAACACCAGUGGCGAAGGCGGCCCUCUGGACUGUAACUGACGUUGAGGCUCGAAAGCGUGGGGAGCAAACAGGAUUAGAUACCCGUGUAGUC
RNAcentral lists this ribosomal RNA (441 nucleotides) under uncultured bacterium. RNAcentral describes it as "partial 16S ribosomal RNA". It matches the Rfam family "Bacterial small subunit ribosomal RNA", at positions 338 to 795 of the family's 1533-position model. The record is from RNAcentral.